This 2784-nucleotide ribosomal RNA is filed under the name Exochella jullieni. RNAcentral's name for it is "partial large subunit ribosomal RNA". It matches the Rfam family "Eukaryotic large subunit ribosomal RNA", at positions 23 to 2269 of the family's 3401-position model. The record is from RNAcentral. Lineage: Eukaryota; Metazoa; Bryozoa; Gymnolaemata; Cheilostomatida; Exochellidae.
ACCCGCUGAACUUAAGCAUAUCAGUAAGCGGAGGAAAAGAAACUAACUAGGAUUCCCCGAGUAGCGGCGAGCGAAAGGGGAGAAGCCCAGCGCCGAAGCCCGCAGCCCCCGGCUGCAGUGCAAUGUGGCGUUUCGGCGGCGACUCGUCGCGGCCGCUCUGGCACGUGUACCUCUGAAUGGGUCUGCCCGCAGCGGGUGUCAGGCCUCUAGGUGCCAAACGAGCGGUCGUGGCCCGUCGUCGUCGCGGAGUCGGGUUGCUUGAGAGUGCAGCCCAAAGUGGGUGGUAAGCUCCAUCUAAGGCUAAAUACCUAGUGCGAGACCGAUAGCAAACAAGUACCGUGAGGGAAAGUUGCAAAGAACUUUGAAAAGAGAGUUCAAGAGUACGUGAAACCGUUCAGAGGCAAACGGACGGAACUGGGCGAGUUCGCCGCCGCCAUUCAGCCGGCGCGCCUCUCGGGGCGCGACGGUGCACUUGGCGGCGGCGGAGCGCGACGACCGCCUGUCGGGUCGUCUGAAGCCCGGCGGCAAGGUGGCGACGCGUUCGCGCGUCGUGUUACAGGCCGCCGCGGCGUUGGCAGACCUGGCGGGCGAGGAGCGCCUGCGGUGCCCUCCCCUCGCGGGAGCGGCCCGCGCGUUGGGCUCGCGGACGUCGGCGGUGAACUGCUCGCAGUUUGUCGUUUGGCGCUCUGCCUGUCUUGGCGCGCGGUGCCGCGCGGCACCCGGGGUCCGGGUCGUGUGGUUCCUGGCACUCCGUCCGACCCGUCUUGAAACACGGACCAAGGAGUUGAGCACGUGCGCAAGUCGAUGGGCUCUGAGAACCCCAGUGGCGCAGCUAAGGCAAAACGGGCGUGAUCCGGCACGUGAUCGUGUCGGCGCAACGCCGGCCCGCAGCCGACUCGUUGCGAGUGGCUGCGGUGCAAGAGCGUGCGUGCUCAGACCCGAAAGGUGGUGAACUAUGCUUGAGCAGGGCGAAGCCAGAGGAAACUCUGGUGGAGGCUCGCAGCGAUCCUGACGUGCAAAUCGGUCGUCAAACUUGAGCAUAGGGGCGAAAGACUAAUCGAACCGCCUAGUAGCUGGUUCCCUCCGAAGUUUCCCUCAGGAUAGCUGGCACUCGGGAUAAAUGGUUUUAUCCGGUAAAGCGAAUGAUUAGAGGCAUUGGGGACGAAACGUCCUCAACCUAUUCUCAAACUUUAAAUGGGUAAGAGGCGCGACCCUUCCUGAUCGGGGUCGCGUGCUUGAACAGAGAGUGCCCAGUGGGCCGUUUUUGGUAAGCAGAACUGGCGCUGUGGGAUGAACCAAACGUGCGGUUAGGGUGCCUAACGCACGCUCAUGAGACACCACAAAAGGUGUUGGUUGAUAUAGACAGCAGGACGGUGGCCAUGGAAGUCGGAAUCCGCUAAGGAGUGUGUAACAACUCACCUGCCGAAUCAACUAGCCCUGAAAAUGGAUGGCGCUGGAGCGUGCGACCCAUACCGCACCGUCGGGGCAAUGCGUGCGAAAUGCCAGGCCCCGACGAGUAGGAGGGCGCAUUGGUGGCGCUGAAGCGUAGUGCGUGAGCACGCGUGGAGCCGCCUUUGGUGCAGAUCUUGGUGGUAGUAGCAAGUAUACAAAUGAGAACUUUGUAGACCGAAGUGGAGAAGGGUUCCAUGUGAACAGCAGUUGGACAUGGGUCAGUCGGCCCUAAGAGAUCGGAAAAUUCCGUUCUGAACGGGGAAGUGGUGAGCAGUGCGUGCCUGGUGCACGCGCGCUGGUGCGCUGCAGCGCCGGAGAAUCUCAAUUGGCGUCCGAGGGCGACUUCAGAGCGGGAGUCGCGUCGUGUGCUCGAGCCAUGUGCGCGCGCGCCGUCAAAGCUGGGUAAAGGAAUUGACGGAGCGCGGCCGCGCGUCACUGGCCCGCAAAAGCACGGCCCCCCCAUAAUAUUAUGGCAGGGGGGGCGGCGACGCGGCGACACAGCCGCCGCAAGCUCUCGGACGUUGCAACCCGCUCAGCUGAGAUCAAUGAGCAACCGGCGCGGGCGUGCCGGCGCGUGUCUCCACACGCGCGGCCGACCGCUAGUGUGCUACCCCGAUGCGAUCGAAAGGGAAUCGGGUUAAUAUUCCCGAACCUGGCAGUGGAGAUUGGGCCCUCGGGCCCCAGUGCGGUAACGCAACCGAACUCGGAGACGCCAGCGUCGAUCCCGGGAAGAGUUCUCUUUUCUUUGUUAGGAGCGGACUCCCUGGAAUUGGCUUGUCCAGAGAUAGGGACGUUGCAUCCGUAAAGCGUCGCGCCUCACGCGGCGUCCGGUGCAUCGGCGCUGGCCCUUGAAAAUCCGAGGAAGGCAGUGUAAUUUUCACUCCAGGCCGUACCCGAAUCCGCAGCAGGUCUCCAAGGUGAACAGCCUCUGGUCGAUAGAACAAUGUAGGUAAGGGAAGUCGGCAAAUCCGAUCCGUAACUUCGGGACAAGGAUUGGCUCUGAGGUGCGGGCUGCUUCGGGUCGCGGCAAGAAGCGGACCGCGCGUUGGCUGGACUGGGCGUGCCUCGUGUGCGCUCGGACCGCUGCCAGCGCGCGUCCGUGGGCGGCCGUUGCUUUCGCCGGCGUCGGCCUCGUGUCGGCGUCGGCUUCGUUCGGCCUAAACGCACAGCACAGAACUGGCACGGACUCUGAGAACACGACUGUCUAAUUAAAACAAAGCAUCGCGAUGGCCGCUGGUCGGUGUUGACGCGAUGUGAUUUCUGCCCAGUGCUUUGAAUGUCAAAGUGAAGAAAUUCAACCAAGCGCAGGUAAACGGCGGGAGUAACUAUGAC